GACGAACGCUGGCGGCGUGCUUAACACAUGCAAGUCGAGCGGUAAGGCCCUUUCGGGGGUACACGAGCGGCGAACGGGUGAGUAACACGUGGGUGACCUGCCCUCAGCUCUGGGAUAAGCCUGGGAAACUGGGUCUAAUACCGGAUAUGACUCCAUGACGCAUGUUGUGGGGUGGAAAGCCUUGUGCGGCUGAGGAUGGGCCCGCGGCCUAUCAGCUUGUUGGUGGGGUGANGGGCCUACCAAGGCGACGACGGGUAGCCGGCCUGAGAGGGCGACCGGCCACACUGGGACUGAGACACGGCCCAGACUCCUACGGGAGGCAGCAGUGGGGAAUCUUGCGCAAUGGGCGAAAGCCUGACGCAGCGACGCCGCGUGAGGGAUGACGGCCU
This 389-nucleotide ribosomal RNA is filed under the name uncultured bacterium. Its description in RNAcentral is "bacterial SSU rRNA". It matches the Rfam family "Bacterial small subunit ribosomal RNA", at positions 28 to 417 of the family's 1533-position model. The record is from RNAcentral.